RNAcentral lists this ribosomal RNA (255 nucleotides) under uncultured bacterium. Its description in RNAcentral is "partial 16S ribosomal RNA". It matches the Rfam family "Bacterial small subunit ribosomal RNA", at positions 524 to 776 of the family's 1533-position model. The record is from RNAcentral.
UACGUAGGGAGCAAGCGUUGUCCGGAAUCAUUGGGCGUAAAGCGUGCGCAGGCGGUUAUGUAAGACAGGUGUGAAAUCCCAGGGCUUAACCUUGGAACUGCAUUUGUGACUGCAUAGCUAGAGUACGGUAGAGGGGGAUGGAAUUCCGCGUGUAGCAGUGAAAUGCGUAGAGAUCCGGAAGAACACCGGUGGCGAAGGCGGCCUGCUGGGCAGUUUAGCUGACACUGAGGCGCGACAGCGUGGGGAGCAAACAGG